Molecule: long non-coding RNA, 862 nt
Organism: Herpailurus yagouaroundi (jaguarundi)
Lineage: Eukaryota; Metazoa; Chordata; Mammalia; Carnivora; Felidae
Exons: 2
Source: RefSeq, a predicted model, not a curated record
UCCAGCGGCCCCGGCCCGGUCCGGGCUGGAGCGCAGCGCGGCGCAGCGCAGCGCCGCCCCCCGCGGCCGCGCGAGCAGAGCCGAAAGGGAGCUCCCUGCUGGCGGCUCCCGGGAUAAACGCCCGGCCUUCCUGGCAGCGCCUGGGCGCGCCUCCAGAACGGGCCAUGCGGGCACGGGGCGCUGCUCUGGGAGCCUUCUGCCCGCGUCCGAGAGGCCUGGAGCUCCCGUCUGCGCUGGGCGCCGGAGGCCGCUGGGCAUGCCCAGGGCAGGCACCGUGCCCGCAUGUAUAGAACAGGUUCCUUCCAAGGCCUGCACUGGACUCCGCGCGCUGGCUGUGUCCGAGAGGGUGCUGCCCAGGGCAGUGCUGUGCGGAGGACGCAUUCGAGUCUUGCUGGUCACAUCUUCCCAGGGUGGCUCUGCAGGGGCAGACAUAGGGCGCUGCUCGAUGGUGCCAGAUGGCUUAGGCCGGAGCAGACACUGCCCGCAUGUCCAGGGUGGCACUCGCAGAAUGUACUCCGCAGGGUGGUAGCUUGGUCUGAGAGAGCCCUGCCUCAAGUGCAGCUGCCUGAGGGGUGUACCGGGGCCCAGGAGACGCAGCCCUCAGCGGUGAUCACUCAGUCCCCAAAGGAGUCCAACGAUGCUAAUAAGAUUAACACCUUUCAGAGGCUUCUUGGUUUACAGGUCCCGUCAUGUGCUCAUCCAGUGAGAUGUUUACCCAGGAAAGGAUUAGAGGUGUCCUGGGAGAGGCCAGAGGUGUUUAGAGACCAGUCUUCCAAGGAAACACAUCUAGAAAAGAUGUUGCUACAACCAGUGUCAUGGUGAUGAUUGCUUACAUACAACAUCAAAGGCAUGAUUCAUGAAA